AGCGAACGCUGGCGGCAGGCCUAACACAUGCAAGUCGAACGAACCUUUCGGGGUUAGUGGCGGACGGGUGAGUAACACGUGGGAACGUGCCUUUAGGUUCGGAAUAACUCAGGGAAACUUGUGCUAAUACCGAAUGUGCCCUUCGGGGGAAAGAUUUAUCGCCUUUAGAGCGGCCUGCGUCUGAUUAGCUAGUUGGUUGAGGUAAUGGCUCACCAAGGCGACGAUCAGUAGCUGGUCUGAGAGGAUGAUCAGCCACAUUGGGACUGAGACACGGCCCAAACUCCUACGGGAAGCAGCAGUGGGGAAUCUUGCGCAAUGGGCGAAAGCCUGACGCAGCCAUGCCGCGUGAAUGAUGAAGGUCUUAGGAUUGUAAAAUUCUUUCACCGGGGACGAUAAUGACGGUACCCGGAGAAGAAGCCCCGGCUAACUUCGUG
This 434-nucleotide ribosomal RNA is filed under the name uncultured bacterium. RNAcentral describes it as "partial 16S ribosomal RNA". It matches the Rfam family "Bacterial small subunit ribosomal RNA", at positions 29 to 507 of the family's 1533-position model. The record is from RNAcentral.